RNAcentral lists this unclassified non-coding RNA (3076 nucleotides) under Leishmania donovani. RNAcentral's name for it is "gene:LdHU3.36.8610(CDS-product:hypothetical_prote in_conserved)". The record is from RNAcentral. Lineage: Eukaryota; Euglenozoa; Kinetoplastea; Trypanosomatida; Trypanosomatidae.
CGUGGCCUGGCCCGUGUUCUGCGCGACGAACUGAACGGACGUGCUAGACCAUCCACUGCUGUGCACCUCGGUUGACCUAUUCGCAGAGCUUCCCUGGGUCCUCACGCACCGGCGCACACCCCCACCCCACACGCUUGUGGUACUGGCCGAACUCUGCGUACACCGGCUUCCACGCUGAUGAGCUGGCCGUGACUUCCUCAACAAAGGAAAUCGAUAGUUACCGACUACCAGAGAGAGAGGCGGCAGCUAUCAAGCGCAUGCCUGUCCACCCGAACAGCUGCACCGCAUGACGAAAGCGACGCUUGAACGCCCACCCUCGCGUCUCCCUUUUCCUCGCUGACACAAACAGACACACAUAACGCCCCAUUAUUGCAUACCCCUGUGCUCGUUGUUGCCUUCUCGUUGCUUGUUUUUCUUUCUUCCUUGAUAGGUGCACUGCCACGCCGUUCCUUUUUUUUUUCGCGUGGCGCUUGUGCCCUGCAGCGUGUUGUCUGCUUCCUUUUCUUUCGCCCUUGCUUCUCCUUCGCCUUGCUGACCUUCCCGCUUCAUGUCUGUACUCUUUUUAAAGGAGGCUCUCCGGCCCAGAUCCUGUGUUGCCCUUUUCAAUCAUGUCGUUCAUCAGCUACGUGCAGUCGCUGUGGGGCCCCUUCACGGCAUCCUCCGACCGCACUUUGAGAGGCGGCAGCGGCGCGUCGUCGCAGCAGUUGGGCAGCGGGGUAUGGCCUCUCUCCGCUCAGGUGCGGGAGGAAAUGAAGAGGGGGACGCGCUACAACAUGAAGGUUGUGCUGCGCGGCACCCGUGCGACUGGCAAGAGCACUUUGAUGGCGCGCCUAAGCGGCCACCCGCUGCCGGCGCGGUACACCCCGUCUACCGAGAUCAUCGCUUCGACGAUGCGGCUGCAAGGGGAGCUUUGCGCCCCACACGAGGGCACGAAGGUGGACAUCUGGGAGGUCGUCGAGGAGGGUCGCCAGCGAUCCACCUCGUCCUCGUCGGCGAACACCGGCGCAGCCAUGGCCGGUCAUAUCCCAACAGUCCAGCUUCACGAGGCUCUGCGCGUGGCGGCAGAUGCGCGGUUGCUCGAUAUGUACGCUGGGUGUCAACUCGUCAUCUUCAUGAUCGACCCUCGUCAGCGCAGCUCAUGGGAGUACGCGAAGCAGGAAACGCUGCACGUGCCCCCCACGAGCUGCAUCCUGUACGCCCUGAACUUCUCCGAUGUGGAGCCGCUCACCGGCGCUAGCGGGGUCGUCCGACUGGAUGAGGUGCAGGCGUGGUGUAACCGCGUGCGUCGAGCAACCACGGGGCUCGUGCACCGCGUGCUAGAGGGCCGCCAGGCUCCAGCUGAGUUCUCGGUGCGUCCCAUGACUGCGAUGCUGAGCGCUCAGACAGGAGCAGGAAUGCUGGGCGUGGUGCGAGCUCUGCACGUGGCCAGCACGCUGGUCCGCAUCACAGCGGAGGAGGUGCGAGCUCAGCAACUCUUCGCACUCCUAGCGCGUCAACAGGCCGCACCUAUUGCUGGUUUCGAUUCAACACGUACCCCACCAACCGGCACAGCAUCAGCUGGGGGCGCCCGUGCCGACCAAGCACCAGCGUCAGGGAAGCCGCCGCCUGCUGAGGCGCUGAGAGCUGGACCGCACACCCCAGCGUCAGCGCCGCCUCUGUCUCUGAACGCUUCUGCAGGAUCUUCGUUGAAGACAGCAGCGCACACUUCAAUGAGAGAUACUGCGCAGGCUUCAGAUCACCCCUCUGUCGCGAUCACUGAGGUGCAGGCCAGCACGACGCCAGCGUUGGAGUCGGACUCUGGAGGCCUUCGAAUGCAGCACCGCUCCAGCGCUGUCGUGACCACCGUUAGUAAUGGAACCAGCUGCGUGAACGGGGGCGGGAACGGCACGCAUCCGCAACAUACUUCGCUCACCCGUCCGAUGAGUGACGCGGAGGCCAUGAGGCUGUUUCUGGGCAAUAUCGACUGCGACGCGUCGGGCCAAUCGUCGCCUCGCUCGUCCUCAUCCUCCUCUGCCUCGGGUGCGGCGAGUAGUCGUGCCUGGGUGGCGGCGAAACGUCCCCCUGUCGAGCAUCACUUCGACGCCGCGACUGCACAGCUGCCAACCCUGAAUCGAACACCUGAAGGGCUGGCACAAGACGACUCUGCUGUUGCUAAUGCCAACGCAGGCGUCUCUGGCUUGACGCCCCCAUCGCUGUCGGAGGAGCUGCCAUCUCCGCUGCCCGCUCCUCAGGUUGUGCGACCGCUGGCAGAGGACGUGGUUGGCUCCUUGGCUGCUGAUAUGGUGCACGAUGCCAGUGUGUCCGUGGACGACUUCUUCGCCGAGGAGGGAGAGAAAGACGAAUUGGAUGGCGCGGCGCCAGAGGUCGAUCCUGCGACACCGACCUCUGCUGCCCAUCAGUCCGUGGACCCUGGCUCACGCACUGCCCGCACCUUGAGAACGCAGCGCGUGGUUCCGAGGGCAAGCAUUCCCGCCUCUGCUCAGGCCGCUGCGCCAGACCCUGUUUUACAGGCCGACGUGUCCAUUAUCCUCGCGCAGAUGAAGGCUGCGCUCACGACAGAUGUGCCUAUCGCCACUGCGGGCAGUGGUCCCGACGAUGCAGUGGUGCGACGCGCUACUGAGCUUGAUUCCGCACAGCAGGAAAUGCGGCUGACACAGAGAGCGAAAAAGUCACGGCACUUGGCAACCGGCGAUUCUGAGGCUCGUGGGAACCGUCGUCACCACCGAAAGAAGCACCGUGAUGCGGCGGACGGGAACGCGGUGGCCGCCGUGGCUGAGGAGCCGGGGGAGGUGGACAAUGGAAGUUUCGACUUAGUUCUGGUGUAGCGAUGCGGUGGCUGUGAUGGAAGUGAUUUCAGCACGGUGAGGAAGGUGAAGGGGGGAGGGGAAGCGAGGGAUUGACUGCGCCGACGACGUCGGUGGUGACUCUCUCGCCCGAGCCUCUCGCACAUCCUCUCUGCACGCUUCUUCACUUUAUUUUUUUGUCGACUGUCCCCCGCUGCCUUCCUCCCUCGUCUCGAUCUAUUCGCAGAGGCCGAAUGGAGAUGAGGUCCUGGAGAGGAAGGAGCCCAACAUGU